AAAGCGUGCGCAGGCGGUUCGGAAAGAGAGGUGUGAAAUCCCAGGGCUCAACCUUGGAACUGCACUUUUAACUACCGAGCUAGAGUAUGUCAGAGGGGGGUGGAAUUCCGCGUGUAGCAGUGAAAUGCGUAGAUAUGCGGAGGAACACCGAUGGCGAAGGCAAUCCCCUGGGCCUGUACUGACGCUCAUGCACGAAAGCGUGGGGAGCAAACAGGAUUAGAUACCCCAGU
This 230-nucleotide ribosomal RNA is filed under the name uncultured bacterium. RNAcentral's name for it is "partial 16S ribosomal RNA". It matches the Rfam family "Bacterial small subunit ribosomal RNA", at positions 562 to 791 of the family's 1533-position model. The record is from RNAcentral.